GCGUCGGGGGCCCGCAGAGCGCCUCCGGAUCGGCGGCCUUUUCCUUGCCCACCGCCGCCUCUUGCAGGCCCCGCCGCCUUUGUCUGCUUCCCGGAGCCACUCACUGGGCGGCGGAGGACGCGGGCCCCGGCGCGGCCAGUGUGUCCCGGCUGCGAGGGCCACGGCAUCCGCGAGUUGCCAAGGUCACGGAGGCUUCGGGGAGCCGUGAGGCCGCUCCUGAGCACCUAUACCUGGCCCUCGGCCCCUUGCAAGAAGUUCAAGUGGGCCGAUGGGGUCCGGUGUCCACCGGUGAGAAACAGCAGCGCACUUUGUGCGAUCCCUGCGAGCCCGCAUGUGUGAUUACCCCCUGUUAAAAGGAUAAAAAGGCAACCUGACAUCCUGUAGGAUUUUUCAGACUUGAAUACAGCAGAGAUACACCAGCAGACAAGAGCCACUACACUUGUUUGCACCGUUCAGCCACAGCAGAGAUAAAAGUCCCAGAGUCACGGCUCUUCCCCAGGUUGCUGGAUUGUUGGCAUGUCCAGGAGACGUGGAUGUGCCACACACAUUGGCUGUGCCCUGUGUGUAGUCAAGUGCUCUGAAAGAAACCCAGGCAACUUCCUUGUCCUGCCUGGCUCAGGAAAUGUGGACACAGAAUCAUGAGGAGCGAGCAGGACAUUGGGGGGUGUGGAGAGAAAAGAGGGCUGACCAACAUGGCCUGCAAAGAUGGUGCAGCACCACUGGACUGCUUUGCUUGCAGUGACAGGAAUGCAAACUGGUGAUGGAUUUUGAUCUGACUGAUCCAGAAGUGCCAUGCCAUGCCAGCCCAUCUGGCUGUGAGCUGCAGUUUUGUCAGUCCAGCAGCCCAAAGCAACUUAGAGGCCUUCCUGUUUGGUGCCUCCUCCCCGACAAUGCAGAGCCCUCUUCAGAGAUGCAGGUCCUUACAGAAGUGACUUCCCCAGUGGAAAAAAUACUGAAUGAAGCAGAGCUGUCCUACUUGUCAUGUUCCUGCUUGACUUGCUGAGGCAUUUUCGAAACUCCUCUGAGCCCUGCACCCACUCUUUUGUAGGGUCCUCAGCACUGUGCAUGUCUCAGUGUGAGCCUCAGUCUCUCUCCCACAAGCUUUCAGUAACAGAAAUGGAAAGCAAAUCCAAGUCUUCGCCCCAUCAGAAACCGCAGCUGCAAAGCUGUCCUACUGUUGCAUAAGCUGCUUUUAUUUUUGAACCUUUAGACCUGUAGCACAUCCUCUACAAAGGUUAAAUUCAAAAUUAGCUGCACAAGCAUAGAAAGGAGAGAGGAAAGUCCGUCUCUUGGCAUACAUUAUAGUCCCCAGCCCCCUCCAAAACAACAUGGAAGUGUCUCUGGUUCAAGGCAGCCUACACAACAGCGAGCUGCAGGAGCUGUAAGCUAUUAUUUUAGUUCCCAAGGAAAGUAAUUACUAUAGCAACCAACACAUCUGAAUGGCUCUUUGGCUGCUACUGAGAUACAAACAACUUGUGCACAAAGGCACAUCAGAAACGUGCUGUGUAAAACGUUCUCGGGGAGCUCUGCUUUUUGUAGAGCUUUAUAAAACGUGCAUAACAGGCUUCUGAGAAAUGACUGCCAGAAUAACAGCAAGCAAUUGUACCAUGCCAUGAUCCCAAAAUAACCUAAUCAAUGGCUCAGUAUAUUUGCCCCUGAAGAGACGAAGCAAAAAAACUGCAGGCUCCAUUUUAAGCCUGUGUGCCGGGAAGUACCCAGCUGAGCUGAAGAUACAUUCAAUAAGCAGACAGUAAAAUGGUGGGGAAACGUCUCCCCUUUUGUUCUGUGUACUGAUGCAAACUCCCAGCAGGCUUCAAGUGCCAGCUCAUCCCUUGGGCUUAUACAGAGUUUGUCAGAAAAAGGGAUUUAAUUACAGCCUUGUAAUGCUGGAGGGUGUAAGAAGUCAUGUCUGCAUUCUUUUCUGUAUCUGUGCAGCAAUCAACCCCCACAGAACCCAUCUCCAGCUGCAGUGCUGGGUACAUCACUGUUGCUAUUACUGAAUAAGGAAGCUUCUUGAGCAACAGCAAACUGUAAUCAUUGGCCAUUGCUUAAGUAUUACAGCAUUUGGAGUGUCUCUGUCACCUUCAAAUCAAAAUGCCACUGGUGUAAUAACAGCUUGAUAGUUUCUGGUACCUGCCUGCAAAGCAGCACCACUUCAUGGUGCUGAGACAAACAGCUUAGAUCCCCUUAGGUCCAAGCAAUCUGGCCCAGGAGUAUUGUCCAAAAUUUCCCCACAGGACACAUAAACACAUGUCACCUGUCUCAAGGAUGGUGAGUAGCAUUAACAUCACACUCCUGCUCCAUUGCACAAGGCAGCUCUGAUGAAAAUGGUGGCUAUGGAUCUGGGUAACAGAGACAGAUAACAGAGAUCUCUGUUACAGAGUUAGAUACUGUAAGGGAGCACAGAGUUAGAUACUAUAAGGGAGUACAACAUGUCCCUUCCCAAAUCUGAACUGCCUUUUAAAAUUAUCUUUUAAUCAGUUGAGUCCUAAAGUCUUGUUCUGGGCCCAGAAUAAACUGAAAAUUACAGCUGGAUUUAACAUAAAGACAAAAUUAAGGAAGGAAAUGUAGUGAUGUAAUUUAUUACAGAAGUGCCCUAUGACCAAACAGAAAAAGGAUCUUGGCAUAGCAGGUUCUGCAUGACAGAGUUUUGGUUGACUGUAGCCUUUUAAGCAAAGUCACUUUAUUUUGGAUUAAAGAAAAACAUCUGAGAAAAGCACAAAAAUAAAGAAUUCCUAAGAAAAUAGCACAAACAUAUAUGAAAUCCAAGGACUCACUUCUGUCUUACAAAAUGGUAGCCACCCUAUAAGCACCAGGAGUUUUCAAACUGCCAAUCCCAGGGAAGUAAAUUCUCCUCUGUAAUUUUUCUCAUUAUAAGUUUGUUUUCUCAUAGUAGCUCCCUCUCA
Molecule: long non-coding RNA, 2906 nt
Organism: Corapipo altera (White-ruffed manakin)
Lineage: Eukaryota; Metazoa; Chordata; Aves; Passeriformes; Pipridae
Exons: 5
Source: RefSeq, a predicted model, not a curated record